GACGAACGCUGGCGGCGUGCUUAACACAUGCAAGUCGAACGGAAAGGCCCUGCUUUUGUGGGGUGCUCGAGUGGCGAACGGGUGAGUAACACGUGAGUAGCCUGCCCUUGACUUUGGGAUAACUUCAGGAAACUGGGGCUAAUACCGGAUAGGAGCUCCUGCUGCAUGGUGGGGGUUGGAAAGUUUCGGCGGUUGGGGAUGGACUCGCGGCUUAUCAGCUUGUUGGUGGGGUAGUGGCUUACCAAGGCUUUGACGGGUAGCCGGCCUGAGAGGGUGACCGGCCACAUUGGCACUGAGAUACGGCCCAGACUCCUACGGGAGGCAGCAGUGGGGAAUAUUGCACAAUGGGCGGAAGCCUGAUGCAGCAACGCCGCGUGCGGGAUGACGGCCUUCGGGUUGUAAACCGCUUUCGCCUGUGACGAAGCGUGAGUGACGGUAAUGGGUAAAGAAGCACCGGCUAACUACGUG
RNAcentral lists this ribosomal RNA (468 nucleotides) under uncultured bacterium. Its description in RNAcentral is "partial 16S ribosomal RNA". It matches the Rfam family "Bacterial small subunit ribosomal RNA", at positions 28 to 507 of the family's 1533-position model. The record is from RNAcentral.